UGAACUGGGUGANUAGAGUGUGUCAGAGGGAGGUAGAAUUCCACGUGUAGCAGUGAAAUGCGUAGAGAUGUGGAGGAAUACCGAUGGCGAAGNCAGCCUCCUGGGAUAACACUGACGUUCAUGCUCGAAAGCGUGGGUAGCAAACAGGAUUAGAUACCCUGGUAGUCCACGCCCUAAACGAUGUCAAUUAGCUGUUGGGCAACUUGAUUGCUUAGUAGCGUAGCUAACGCGUGAAAUUGACCGCCUGGGGAGUACGGUCGCAAGAUUAAAACUCAAAGGAAUUGACGGGGACCCGCGCAAGCGGUGGAUGAUGUGGAUUAAUUCGAUGCAACGCGAAGAACCUUACCUGGUCUUGACAUGUACGGAAUCCUCCAGAGACGGAGGAGUGCCUUCGGGAACCGUAACACAGGUGCUGCAUGGCUGUCGUCAGCUCGUGUCGUGAGAUGUUGGGUUAAGUCCCGCAACGAGCGCAACCCUUGUCAUUAGUUGCCAUCAUUAAGUUGGGCACUCUAAUGAGACUGCCGGUGACAAGCCGGAGGAAGGUGGGGAUGACGUCAAGUCCUCAUGGCCCUUAUGACCAGGGCUUCACACGUCAUACAAUGGUCGGUACAGAGGGUAGCCAAGCCGCGAGGUGGAGCCAAUCUCACAAAACCGAUCGUAGUCCGGAUUGCACUCUGCAACUCGAGUGCAUGAAGUCGGAAUCGCUAGUAAUCGCAGGUCAGCAUACUGCGGUGAAUACGUUCCCGGGUCUUGU
Molecule: ribosomal RNA, 754 nt
Filed under: uncultured bacterium
Lineage: Bacteria
Description: bacterial SSU rRNA
Rfam family: Bacterial small subunit ribosomal RNA
Source: RNAcentral